UACAAUUGUAUUUUUCUUAAUUCAAAUUCUCUUACAACCUUUCUUGCGAAGCGUAAUCAGCAAUCUCUGAGAACGAAAAUGGCACAAAGAAGUUGUGGUUGUGGCGAUAACUGCAGCUGUGGCGACGACUGCAACUGCAACAGGAUGUAUUCCAGAAGCGAGUGUGGUUGUGGAGAUGACUGCAGCUGUGACCCUUGCAAUUGCGACUAAACUCUGAAAUCAAGCAGUUAUCAUCACUCUAUGGUGUAACCGAAUAUGUGUAGUUUGCUUUGAUUUUCCUCAAGUUUUUGGGUGUAUUGUGAACUGAAUAAAUAGGCCAUGUAUUGCAUCUUCAGAUUUGGCAUUUGUCUAGAUCGGUUGAUGUUUCAUAGAUGGUCUAGUGUAGUGUGAUUGUGUUUUUAAUUUCUUGUAAUGUUGUUUCCUAAAUUGAAAGAAAAAAAAGGUUGCCUAAAAGUUACCAAAAUAUAUUCUCUAUCUAA
This is a long non-coding RNA of Chenopodium quinoa (quinoa), 479 nucleotides long. RefSeq lists it as uncharacterized. NCBI's taxonomy places the organism in Eukaryota, Viridiplantae, Streptophyta, Magnoliopsida, Caryophyllales, Amaranthaceae. The transcript is spliced from 2 exons. The record is from RefSeq and is a predicted model, not a curated record.